RNAcentral lists this long non-coding RNA (3365 nucleotides) under Cricetulus griseus (Chinese hamster). RNAcentral describes it as "lncRNA (ENSCGRG00000026361.1)". The record is from RNAcentral. Lineage: Eukaryota; Metazoa; Chordata; Mammalia; Rodentia; Cricetidae.
AUGAGGGCCAGCGCAGUUACCAUCCUCUGGUACUUUGGCAUCCCUGUGCCUCUCAUGAUCACCACUCCUGUUGGAUUCUUCGGCUCAGAGGAGAGACUAUGGAUACCGUGCUCUGUGUAUUCAUGCGCCCCAGACAGAAAAAGCAAAUGCACCACUUUCUCCAUGGGGCAGCUGAGCAGGAAGCACAGAGCUGAGAGCUGCUGCUUGCAGACCCUGGCCUACCUACACAAGUCCAACCCAACAGAGCUUCUGGGUGGAGCAGGAAGCCUUCGAGGUGUAAGGGGCCAGGGGCUAAUUAUGAGAGCCAGAAGACAUCAGAGCCUCUGGCUGUGAGGAGACAGGCGUUUCUUUGGAAAUGAGAAACUCAACAUUGAACAGCUAUAUUCCUGCCUCUUGACUCCCUGCUGGCAGGUUUCUGCAGCUUCACCUUCAGCAGCAAAGAGAGGCGAGGAGGAGAGUUUAGUCUCACGUCCCCUCAGCUCCAGCCAUGUUCUUGGAUGUUCCCCCUCCUGCUGGUGUUUCCAGUGCAGCCUUUUUAUGUGGCAAAGUAGUGAAGGAACAGAAAACGUAAUUAGUCCUGGCUCGGGCACUACAUGGCAACUACUCAGCCUGAUUUUUUUUUCUCUGCAAAAUUGGAAUAAAUAAUUAACACUACAUCUGUGUCUUAUGAUUGUCAGAGAUUACAUGAGAAAAUGAGGGGAAAGCUUUGAAAACAUAAGUUGCAAUAAAAACAUAAAUGCCUCUAUUUUUCUGAAUGUAGUGUUUUCAGAUUUGUGUUCUGCUCUUAUGUCUACAUACUUGCUUCUACAUCUGCUUAUUAUGGAAUAACAGUUUAAUAGGAAGAUAAGAGAUAUUGAAAAACUUUGAAAGGCUACUUCCUAAAAACAACCUAAGAGGGCUGGAGAGAUGGCUCAGCAAUUAAGAGCACUUGACUGCCCUUCCAGAGGACCCAGGUUCAAUUCCCAGAUGCCACAUGGCAACUCACAACUCUUUGUAACUCCAGUUCCAGGAGAUCCUACAAUGUCUUUUGGUCUCUGAAGGCAAGCAGGCAUGUAUGAAGGCACAGACAAACACACAGUUGAAGCAUGUAUACAUAAAAUAAAAAUAUUAACGCCUAGGGAAGGGAGAAGGGAAGCAGUGAGACUUGUCUUCUCUUCAUCUGCUCUGUUUCCCCAGUGGACACGCUCUGCUUUUUUUUUUUUUUUUUUCUUUAGUUAGGGAAACCAAUACAGAUUUUUAAAUGGCUUAAGACAAUAUAGUCACACUAGAAAUAGUCAUUGGAAGUCACUCACACAGAGGUCGACAGCUGGGGCAAAGAGAACAGGGGAUUUAGAAAGAUAAGCAACUGUGAAAACAGCUUGAUUGGCAAAUCGGGACCAUGUUGUUAAAACUAUUGAAUGUCAGGCCAAUGAGCUUUUAAGUGGUGGAAGCCAUUGAAGGGUCUUGAGCAAAGGACUACUGUGAUCAGUAAUGUGAUUCUCAGAACAGUGUUUUAGGAAUAAUGAAAGUGGAUGAGAUGGCUCAGGCCUUGACAGCUAGCUGUCCUGAUUCUAAUCCCCAGAAUCCAUGUAAAGGUGGAAACAAAGAACCAACUCCUUCCACAUGUAUGCCAUGGGCACACACACACACACACACACACACACACACACACACACACACACACACACACACACACACACGCACGCACUUUUUUUUUCAUUUUUAUUUUUAGCUUUAUCCAUUUUACACAAACUUUUUUUGGAAAAAGAAUAAUGCAUAAGAUGACUUGAAGAAGAAAGAAAGACAAAACUAUAUGUAGUCAGUCAUGGUAGUGACAUUGAGGCUUCGAUGGAAAGACCUUGAGUUCAAGGCCAGUCUGGGCUAUACAGGAAGUCACUGUCUUUAAAUUACAUUACUGUUUUGUAGAAAGUGUUAUAUUCCAUUUCCAAUUGGUUUGACAGAGGUCUAAAUGGAAAGAGGGUGAGUCAGGGAGAACCACAGUCGGGUCUAAGAGAGGCAGCAGCUUGUAAGAAAAUAAUAAUGGCAUUGGGUUAUAACCCCAAUUACAGGUAUUAAUCCACACUGACAUACAUAAAUGGUUAAAUAAACAAAGGAGAAGGGACAAAUACUCCUUUUAGAAGAAUUCUAAUUAUAUAUGUACAUAUAUAAUUUCAUAAAAUAUAAUUAAUUAAAGUUUUAUAUUUGUAGAAAAUGAGAGAAAUAAAAAUUACAACUGAAACAUCAUAGUAACAAUAGCUGCUGUUAUGAUUCACUGACUGCUAAAUCUAGAGGGUGACACUUUAAGCAGAUCCAAGAUAUUUGAAUAGUUAUAUGACAUGCUUAUGUAUUAAUUACUGUUGUAGUUUUAAACAUGUAUCUAUCCUCACUUUCUUUGAUACUCCUCUCUCUAGGAGAUGGAAUCUAAUUCUCUUCCCCUUGAAUAUGGGCUGGACUAAGUGACUUGUUUCUGAUAAAGAGAAAACAGUAUGACAGAAAUAGUAAUUUCACAAUAGAGAGACCUGUCAAGUGCCACUCUAAGUGAUGAAGAUUAAUCCCACUGGCAGUGAGACCUGUAACUCCCAGUGUGCCAUCACAAGCACAUACACCUCCAGUGUAUUCUCCCCCACAAUUUAUAUAACCUGAACUAGCUACAAGAACCCUUAGGCAGGGGCUGGAGAAAUGACUCAGCAAUUAAGAUGAGUUAACUGAGGACCCAGAUUGAAUUCCAAGCCCCUACAUGGUGGCUUAUAGCCAUCUAUAACUCCAGUUCAAAGGGCUCCAUCGCCAUCUUCUGGCCUCCUCGGGUACUGCAUGCUCAUUAUGCACAUACAUACAGUCAGACAUAAAGGAAUAAAAUAAAGCAAAGUUUUAAAAUGAAACAUUAGGCAAACGAAAAAGACAUUCUAGGAAAUGCUUGACCAGGCAUUUUCUUGAUCUCAAAAAUCAAGAAAAGGAUCCUAGUAUAAAAACUGUAGAAAUUUACAUCAACUGUGUAGUUUAGUUAAUAGCAAUGUUCUAGUAUUAACUUCUUAGAGUUGAUCAUGUACCAUAGUUAAAUAAGAUGUUACCAUUAGGGGAAACUAGAUGAAGAACUGUCUGAAUUACCCCAGAGUGUAAGUAUAGCAUUGUUUCAGGGCUGGUAAAGAUGGCUCAGCAGGGGAAGGCACCUGUUGCCAAACCCAAUAAACUGAGUUUGACCCCCCAGGAUUUACACAAUAGAAGGAGAGAACCAACUUCUGGAAGUGGUCCUCUGACUUCCACAUGAUCACUGUAGCACACUGCCCACUCCCAUAAACAAAUAAAUGUAAUUUUACAAGAUUUUAAUUAUUUCAAAAUGAUUAAAUUUAAAAAUAUCCCCACCACCUGUGUGUGUGUGUGUGUGUGUG